RNAcentral lists this RNase P RNA (333 nucleotides) under bovine gut metagenome. RNAcentral describes it as "Bacterial RNase P class A". It matches the Rfam family "Bacterial RNase P class A". Rfam says of the family: Ribonuclease P (RNase P) is a ubiquitous endoribonuclease, found in archaea, bacteria and eukarya as well as chloroplasts and mitochondria. The record is from RNAcentral.
GGUGCGCGGGCGCUGCCCGGAGCGAUCCGGGGAGAGGAAAGUCCGGGCUUCAAAGAGCAGGAUGCCGGCUAACGGCCGGCGGGGGUGACCCUAGGGAAAGUGCAACAGAAAAUAUCACGCCGAUGGAUCUUUGAUCACAGGUAAGUUUGAAAUGGCAGGGUAAGAGCCUACCGCGUUUGGGGUAACUCAAACGGCAGUGUAAACCCCAUCCGAAGCAAGACCAAAACGAAGUGUUGACGCUGCUCGCCGAGCUUCAGGUAGGUUGCUUGAGGCUGCUUAGGCAGUCCUAGAUAGAUGUCCGCGCGCGACAGAACCCGGCUUACAGCCGCUCUU